RNAcentral lists this ribosomal RNA (253 nucleotides) under uncultured bacterium. RNAcentral describes it as "partial 16S ribosomal RNA". It matches the Rfam family "Bacterial small subunit ribosomal RNA", at positions 524 to 776 of the family's 1533-position model. The record is from RNAcentral.
GACGGAGGGUGCAAGCGUUAUUCGGAAUUAUUGGGCGUAAAGAGUGUGUAGGCGGCCGGUUAAGUCAGGAGUGAAAGCCCAGGGCUCAACCCUGGAAGUGCGUUUGAAACUGGCUGGCUUGAGUUCGGGAGAGGGAAGCGGAAUUCCGGGUGUAGGGGUGAAAUUCGUAGAUAUCCGGAGGAACAUCAGUGGCGAAGGCGGCCACCUGGACCGUAACUGACGCUGAGACGCGAAAGCGUGGGGAGCAAACAGG